GACAGAGGGUGCAAACGUUGUUCGGAAUUACUGGGCGUAAAGCGUGUGUAGGCGGUCUGCUAAGUCGGGUGUGAAAGCCCUGGGCUCAACCCAGGAAGUGCACUCGAAACUGGCAGGCUAGAGUAUCGGAGAGGUUGGUGGAAUUCUCGGUGUAGAGGUGAAAUUCGUAGAUAUCGAGAGGAACACCGGUGGCGAAGGCGGCCAACUGGACGAAUACUGACGCUGAGACACGAAAGCGUGGGGAGCAAACAGGAUUAGAUACCCGUGUAGU
RNAcentral lists this ribosomal RNA (271 nucleotides) under uncultured bacterium. RNAcentral's name for it is "partial 16S ribosomal RNA". It matches the Rfam family "Bacterial small subunit ribosomal RNA", at positions 524 to 794 of the family's 1533-position model. The record is from RNAcentral.